This 77-nucleotide transfer RNA is filed under the name Caminicella sporogenes. RNAcentral's name for it is "tRNA-Met". It matches the Rfam family "tRNA". Rfam says of the family: Transfer RNA (tRNA) molecules are approximately 80 nucleotides in length. Lineage: Bacteria; Bacillati; Bacillota; Clostridia; Peptostreptococcales; Caminicellaceae. The record is from RNAcentral.
GGCGGCGUAGCUUAGUUGGCUAGAGCGUCCGGUUCAUACCCGGAAGGCCGGUGGUUCGAGUCCACUCGCCGCUACCA